Molecule: ribosomal RNA, 231 nt
Filed under: Lingula anatina
Lineage: Eukaryota; Metazoa; Brachiopoda; Lingulata; Lingulida; Lingulidae
Description: partial small subunit ribosomal RNA
Rfam family: Eukaryotic small subunit ribosomal RNA
Source: RNAcentral
AGGAUUGACAGAUUGAGAGCUCUUUCUCUGAUUCKGUGGGUGGUGGUGCAUGGCCGUUCUUAGUUGGUGGAGCGAUUUGUCUGGUUAAUUCCGAUAACGAACGAGACUCUGGCCUGCUAAAUAGUCCACCGAUCCCUAUGCGACGGUGUCCCUUCUUAAACUUCACUCUUGGCGGCAUAGACACGCGAUUUUGGCCGCUAGAGAGGCUGUGAUGCCCAUCUGUGAUGCCCA